AACAGGAUUAGAUACCCUGGUAGUCCACGCCGUAAACGAUGUCUACUAGCUGUUCGUGACCUUGUGUUGUGAGUAGCGCAGCUAACGCAUUAAGUAGACCGCCUGGGGAGUACGGUCGCAAGAUUAAAACUCAAAUGAAUUGACGGGGGCCCGCACAAGCGGUGGAGCAUGUGGUUUAAUUCGACGCAACGCGAAGAACCUUACCUACUCUUGACAUCUACAGAAGACUGCAGAGAUGCGGUUGUGCCUUCGGGAACUGUAAGACAGGCGCUGCAUGGCUGUCGUCAGCUCGUGUUGUGAAAUGUUGGGUUAAGUCCCGCAACGAGCGCAACCCUUAUCCUUAGUUGCCAGCGAUUCGGUCGGGAACUCUAGGGGGACUGCCGGUGAUAAACCGGAGGAAGGUGGGGACGACGUCGAGUCAUCAUGGCCCUUACGAGUAGGGCUACACACGUGCUACAAUGGUAUGUACAGAGGGAGGCGAUGCCGCGAGGCGGAGCGGAUCUCUUAAAGCAUAUCGUAGUCCGGAUCGCAGUCUGCAACUCGACUGCGUGAAGUCGGAAUCGCUAGUAAUCGCAAAUCAGAAUGUUGCGGUGAAUACGUUCCCGGGCCUUGUACACACCGCCCGUCACACCAUGGGAGUGGGUUGCAAAAGAAGUAGGUAGCUUAACCUUCGGGAGGGCGCUUACCACUUUUGAUUCAUGACUGGGGUGAAGUCGUAACAAGGUCACC
RNAcentral lists this ribosomal RNA (729 nucleotides) under uncultured bacterium. Its description in RNAcentral is "bacterial SSU rRNA". It matches the Rfam family "Bacterial small subunit ribosomal RNA", at positions 771 to 1501 of the family's 1533-position model. The record is from RNAcentral.